This 411-nucleotide small RNA is filed under the name Cryptococcus neoformans H99. RNAcentral describes it as "Cryptococcus neoformans var. grubii H99 hypothetical RNA". Lineage: Eukaryota; Fungi; Basidiomycota; Tremellomycetes; Tremellales; Cryptococcaceae. The record is from RNAcentral.
GCCUAUCAGAGUGUCUGAACCUGGUUCAUGUGGCAUGAUGACAGUAGCAUUGACUCCCCUACAUUCUUCUGUCAUUAUGCACCCACUGUGCAUGUGUCUACAGCCCGCAUCUUCACCAUCCCCUCCAAACUGAUCCCACCCUUCAUUAUUAUUGCACACAUAAUAAUCAGUCAUCGGAUAUUCCAGCAAAUGCAUUUUUACCCACUCUUGCUUGCUGCAUGUCUAUCACUGCCAUCAGCAGAGAGUUUGGAUCUGAUCUGUAAGACUCAGUAUCUUCCAAAGCGGUGAGACCGAGGUCGCCUAGAGCAUUGCAAGACUCAUCAGGCAGGCUGAGAAAACCCUUGAGAUGUAUUGAGGGCUGAGGUUAGAUGUCAGAACGGUUGAUCGUCACUCUACAUGUACACACAGCUC